CCUACGGGAGGCAGCAGUGAGGAAUAUUGGUCAAUGGACGAGAGUCUGAACCAGCCAAGUAGCGUGAAGGAUGACUGCCCUAUGGGUUGUAAACUUCUUUUAUAAAGGAAUAAAACGAGGCACGUGUGCCUUUUUGCAUGUACUUUAUGAAUAAGGAUCGGCUAACUCCGUGCCAGCAGCCGCGGUAAUACGGAGGAUCCGAGCGUUAUCCGGAUUUAUUGGGUUUAAAGGGAGCGUAGAUGGGUUGUUAAGUCAGUUGUGAAAGUUUGCGGCUCAACCGUAAAAUUGCAAUUGAUACUGGAAGUCUUGAGUACAGUUGAGGUAAGCGGAAUGCGUGGUGUAGCGGUGAAAUGCUUAGAUAUCACGAAGAACCCCGAUUGCGAAGGCAGCUUACUAAACUGUGACUGACAUUGAUGCUCGAAAGUGUGGGUAUCAAACAGGAUUAGAUACCCUUGUAGUC
This 460-nucleotide ribosomal RNA is filed under the name uncultured bacterium. RNAcentral describes it as "partial 16S ribosomal RNA". It matches the Rfam family "Bacterial small subunit ribosomal RNA", at positions 338 to 795 of the family's 1533-position model. The record is from RNAcentral.